RNAcentral lists this ribosomal RNA (1063 nucleotides) under Amynthas sp. 3 QZ-2013. RNAcentral describes it as "partial 12S ribosomal RNA". The record is from RNAcentral. Lineage: Eukaryota; Metazoa; Annelida; Clitellata; Crassiclitellata; Megascolecidae.
UCUAUAACUCGAUAAUCCACGUAUACUCAACCUUCUCUUGAUUAUGCAGCAUGUGUACUGCCGUUGUAAGCAUACCUUUAAAAGAAUAAGUAUGCUAUAAUGAUUAAUAACUCAUAUACAUCAGGUCAAAGUGCAGCUAAUAAGAAGGUGAUGAUGGGUUACAACCCAAAAAAAGACUAUCAACUAAGAAAUAAAAAAUCUUACGAAAGUGGACUUGGCCGUAAUCAAUUUACAAGUUAAAAAAAUGAAUAAAAAUCUAAGACAUGUACACAUCGCCCGUCACUCUGCCCUAAAGGUUAGAUAAGUCGUAACAAAGUAGGUGUAAUGGAAAUUGUACCUGUCGAGGUAUAGCAUAUAUAAUGCUUUUUACUUACACUAAAAACAAAGUUAAACAACUUGCCUCGCCCACAUAAUAUAAUCUUAUAAACCUUAAAACAAUAAAAACAAUUAAAAAAAUAUUUAUAACCUAUAAAGUACAGAAAUGGAAACAAUAAUAAAUAAAAGUAAUUAUUAACAACUGUACCUUGUGCAUUAUGGUUUUACAAGAAAAUAAUUAAAAACCCCAAUCCCGAAUUCUAGAUGAGAUGUUAAACUGCUGUUAUGAACCCACUAAUAACUGUAGAAAAAGCUUUAAAAGACAGUUUAACAGAGGCUACAUACCAUCCGCAUAAGAAUAUAGCUGGUUUUCAAUAAACAUUAUACAUUAAAACAUAUAAUUAUAUUAUAGUGUAAUAUUAUUGAGGAUAAGCCCAAUAAUGCAAGCAAUAAUUAUACUAAAUCCAUUUAUAUAAGUAGGCCUAAAAACAGCCAACUAAAACACUUUAUCGUAAUAAAUAAAGAUAAAAUACAUAUACACACAUGCUAAAGAAAAUUGAAAAACUAGACAAAUUUUCUUCUCCAAAUUUACUAUGUAAAAAUAAGUAUUAUAAAACAAUAUAAACAAUAAACUAGUAAUUAACAAUGUAUAAACAACAAUAAUUAAUUAAGGAACUCGGCAAACCAUUAUUUCGACUGUUUAACAAAAACAUUGUCUCAUGAAAACAUAUGAGAUAAUACCUGCCCA